AUUGAACGCUGGCGGCAUGCUUUACACAUGCAAGUCGAACGGCAGCACGGAGAGCUUGCUCUCUGGUGGCGAGUGGCGAACGGGUGAGUAAUACAUCGGAACGUACCCAGUAGUGGGGGACAACCAGCCGGAAAGGUUGGCUAAUACCGCAUAAUACCUACGGGGGAAAGCAGGGGACCUUAGGGCCUUGUGCUACUGGAGCGGCCGAUGACAGAUUAGGUAGUUGGUGGGGUAAAGGCCUACCAAGCCCGCGAUCUGUAGCUGGUCUGAGAGGAUGAUCAGCCACACUGGGACUGAGACACGGCCCAGACUCCUACGGGAGGCAGCAGUGGGGAAUUUUGGACAAUGGGGGGAACCCUGAUCCAGCCAUGCCGCGUGUGUGAAGAAGGCCUUUUGGUUGUAAAGCACUUUAAGUCGUGAAGAAGAGUUGUAGUAACGAUACAACUUUGACAUUAGCGACAGAAUAAGCACCGGCUAACUUCGUGCC
This 487-nucleotide ribosomal RNA is filed under the name uncultured beta proteobacterium. RNAcentral describes it as "bacterial SSU rRNA". It matches the Rfam family "Bacterial small subunit ribosomal RNA", at positions 30 to 509 of the family's 1533-position model. Lineage: Bacteria; Pseudomonadati; Pseudomonadota; Betaproteobacteria. The record is from RNAcentral.